This 791-nucleotide ribosomal RNA is filed under the name uncultured organism. RNAcentral describes it as "bacterial SSU rRNA". It matches the Rfam family "Bacterial small subunit ribosomal RNA", at positions 57 to 846 of the family's 1533-position model. The record is from RNAcentral.
GCAUGUCGAGGGGUAUUUCGAUCUUCGGAUCGGAAACGACCGGCAAAUGGGUGAGUAAUACAUAUGCAACCUGCCCGUAGCUGGAGAAUAGCUUCCGGAAACGGAAAUUAAUACUCCAUAAUAUUCUAGUAUCGCAUGUUAUUAGAAUUAAAGCUUCGGUGGCUACGGAUGGGCAUAUGUCCCGUUAGCUUGUUGGUGAGGUAACUGCUCACCAAGGCUACGAUGGGUAGGGGGUCUGAGAGGAUGAUCCCCCACACUGGUACUGAGACACGGACCAGACUCCUACGGGAGACAGCAGUGAGGAAUAUUGGUCAAUGGGCGAAAGCCUGAACCAGCCAUGCCGCGUGCAGGAUGACAGUCCUACGGAUUGUAAACUGCUUUUCUGCAAGAAGAAAUGUUCCGACGUGUCGGGAUUUGACGGUAUUGCAGGAAUAAGCAUCGGCUAACUCCGUGCCAGCAGCCGCGGUAAUACGGAGGAUGCAAGCGUUAUCCGGAUUCAUUGGGUUUAAAGGGUGCGUAGGCGGAUUAGAUAGUCAAAGGUGAAAGCCUGCAGCUUAACUGUAGAAGUGCCUUUGAUACUGCUAAUCUUGAGUACAGUUGAGGCGAGUGGAAUGUGUAGUGUAGCGGUGAAAUGCAUAGAUACUACUCAGAACACCAAUUGCGAAGGCAGCUCGCUAAGCUGUUACUGACGCCCAGGCACGAAAGCGUGGGGAGCGAACCAGGAUUAGAUACCCUGGUAGUCCACGCUGUUAACUAUGAUCACUAAGCUGUUGGCGAUAAAUUGUCAGUGG